Petromyzon marinus (sea lamprey) is the source of this 5844-nucleotide long non-coding RNA. RefSeq lists it as uncharacterized. The record is from RefSeq and is a predicted model, not a curated record. NCBI's taxonomy places the organism in Eukaryota, Metazoa, Chordata, Hyperoartia, Petromyzontiformes, Petromyzontidae.
CAGAGACGCACGCCGUGAAUUUGAUACGGACUUAAAAAAAAGGCCGUUUUAACAGAUGUGCUACGAAUGGGCACAUUCGAAUUAUUACCGAUAUUGUUCAAAUCACACAGACAAAAAAACAAUUAAUAACAGGCAGACAGGGCUCUGGAACUGGGCCAAAGUGUAAGGUUAUGAAAGAACAACAUUUCGGAACAGUCCAUUUGGAUACGGAGAAUUAGGUGGGGGUUGUUGAAACGCUUUGCAGACAGGGACGCAGUUAAAACAACAACACACACCAUUCGCGAGACGGAACACAAUCACCGCGUUGCAGUAUAAACUUCUAACCAAUUAGCAGCCGAGUGGUGAUAAGCAAAGCUCCUGCGGAGACUUGCGUGGGUGAUAGGUUUGACGGGCAACCCCUACAGCUUCGCAGUGAGCCAUGCCACACGCUGCUGAGCUUGGGGCAAUGGCUGUGGCCAAAGUUUCCCGAGCCAACUUUAAAAACGUCUCUGCUGCUGUUGGUGCCGCCGUCGCCUUAUGUUGUCAGGCACCUCAGUACACUCAGCAAGUUAGUUGAUAGAGCUAUCGUUUUGUAGUGUGUCCCCCCCGUUCCCUGCCCGAGUGACCAGCAGACGAGAAACGCGGAGUGGGUGAGAGGGACGCUGUGAUCCAAGCCUUGCUGCACCUGCGCCUGCGAUGGUAAAGCGGUUCAGCCGUUUGACCCCCGGCUACUUUCGCCUGCUUCAGCUGCAGACCCAGUCGGCACAGGAGCUGGCGUGCGGGCACGCCGAAACCCGCACCAACCGUGCCGCCUUGCUGCUCAGCCUGCUGGGCCUGGCGCUCAGCUCCUACAGCCUCAAGCGCAUGCGAGCGCUGCAGCUCACGGGCGAAGAGUGAUGGCUUGCCCGCCCGCCCCGCCCACUCGCUCGCUCGCUCGCACGGUACCGCGUCACCUCCUGGAAAUCGACCCUUGUGCAAUGACUACUUGACUGCGACGACAGCGAUGCUGUUGUCUCCGCUGUAACAAUUCCCCGACCAACCCCCAAACGCCUUCCCCCCCACCCUCCCUGGAUCCUGUUCCCGGGGAUGGUGGGGGGGGGGGGUGGGAGGUGGCAGGUUAAUAUUUUCUGUAGCUCAGCCCCAAACGGCUCCGGGUGAAAUUAAGCCCUGAUUUAAUUAAUGAAAUUUCCAUUUUUGUAUCCCCCACCCCGCUCAAAUUAGCAUUGGGCAAGGCUCAUCUCUGUUAGGAUACUUAAGUCACUGGUGUGGAAAUUCCACUUUGACUUGUCUCCCCAUAGGGUGACCAUAGUUGAAUUAUCAUAGAUCCAUAAAGAAAACACGUUGCCUAUUACUGCAACAUUAAUUACCAGCGAGGCUUCUGUGCACGUCGAUGCACUGUGUUGAGGCUUGCAGGGCAGUGUGGAGUUUUUUUUGUGGCAAAAUGCCAUGCAAUGCAAAUUAUAUUCCUUAGAAAUGGAAUGAUUAGACAUGUUAACUAUGUUCUGUAAAAAUGUUUAAGCAAUUAAGGCUGCAUGCAGCCUUCAAUAUAAAUCAAAUGUAUUUGAUACGAUAGCCACAGCAACAAUUAUGCAUUUAGACAAUAAACAGCCACAUAUUGCAUUGGCACUUUAUUGGGCCUACUCAAUGUAGCACAGGGGACUCAAAUUCACAUCUUGACGAAACAGAUUGGGUGUGUGGUUUUUAUUUGUAUGCAGUUUUAUUUCUGGGGGUUUUCUGGCUGUCUCUGUGAUUUUGUGAACGAGAAAUGAUUAACUCUCACCUGAUUAAAUAAAGGGCAUUUAACGCCAUUGAACUUGUCAGAGACAUCGUAAUGCAACACUCACAUGGCUGAAUAAGGACACUGGGCGGAACUGUGGACACCAAAGUGAGAACGCAUGGCCUGAGUCAACUAAAAGCAGUUGCUUCAGUCCUUGCUUAAUUCCGGCAUAUACAGAGCUAAAAUACUCAUACGUUUCUGCCUUACGAGAGUCCUCUUGAACCCUUAAGAAUGCAAUGUCCCCUCCGCUAAACAAUGACAGGAGUGCAGAAGACGGAAUGCGAAGUCACGAGGCUUUGUGCUGGGUCACGCGUUGCAGACGAACGGGGCAUGAGGGCGCUACGUCGGCAGGUAAAAGCAGCGUGAACCAGCCAGCGGUCACCUGGAACGCAACCCUCGGCACGAUGAAUCGGCAACAGCAACCAAACCACUGCACGGAGAUGCUUUUAAUUGGCCAAACAAGUAAUGUUUAUAAUUCAACUUGGCGUUCUAUAACUUAACCUGGUGAAGACGGUCAAUCUCAAUAACUUAACCCGGUUAAGUUAUUGAGAUUGACUAUCUCUUUAGCAAUAAAGGCCUGGGAGAUGAUUUUGUUGAUAUUCAAAAUUUCGAAUUUGUGGAUAUUGUACCGGCACUCGGUGACGUUACCUUAUGAAUGACGUCAUAGUGUCAUUGACACGCUCUCGACGGCGGACGGCCUUUGCUUGUAGCUGCUAAUAUCUCGCGAAGACUACCACGCAACUGCACGAAGUCGAAUAAUUAAUCGGCCGAGUGCAAGCCAGCGCAGUUGGUGAGCUCACGAACCGUUCUGCUACUCGGCGAGCUAUUCGUCAUCGUGAGAGCCAAUACAUCAUCGACCAAACCUUAAUGGUUUUACGUCUCUGCAUUCACGAUAUGCGGGUGAGCCACUGGCAUGGUUACAGCUGACCACAGCAGUAUUUCUGUUACAUUUUUUAUUGAUAAUUACAAAUAAAAAAAAUCUCAAAAAACAGCCUCAUAAAACAUUCAGUAUGAAAUUAAGAUAACAAACUGCAGUUUUGCUUAUUUUUAAUCUACGUGGCUACUCGUGAAGAAAUAUAUAUCAAUAAUAUUUUAGAAUUUGUGUUACAAAAAGUCAAUUGGGUCUAUGAUUAAAUGAGCCAUUGGUGGUGCUCACGACUGCUAGCAGCUCUGAGCCAGUGUCAGAAAUUCCACAUUUUAAUGACGGGGGUUAGUCCACCCAUAACAAAACAACUGUGGACGUCCCAUACAGUGGUGCUCGUUUUUAAAAUAAAUAAAUUCCAGAGCGAUGGUGGACUGAGUUGAUCUCCAACCAGUAUUUGUGCUCACAACCUCUCGAUUUGGAGUUUGGCGACUCAUGAUGGGGACCUGGCCUCUCUCUAUGCAAAUAGUGCUGAAUGUCGUGACUCCUGGACAGUUGAUCAAUGGCACAUGCUCGCUGCUGUAUCAGUUUACCUGUGACCCUGACCUUUGGUUAAAUUCGAGGAAAAUUCCCUCUCUAAAAUGUGUAACUUGCAACCAGCCGCAAGGCACUCCGUCUAUUCUCCUGGCCACUGCUGUUGGUGUAUUUGUUUUGUUUGUUCUUGAAAACAGUGAAAUGCACUGAAAGGAGGUUUUUUUUGCAGAAGCAUCAACACAUCUACAUUUUCAGUCUUCCGCCUGACGUAUAAGAACCUGUGUGACCACAGCCGAGUACAGUGAACGGUAUCAUUUACGCUUACAUUUUAAGCAGAACGCCUGGAUUUCGCAGAAAUGUGGGCGAUGGUCAUUGCAGAUGCUAUCACCUUCGGGGUAAUCUGCAAAUUUACCUACAAUUUUUGUUGCAUAAUAAUCACGGGUGUUAGGAAGAAAUUAAGUAUAGGGGCGUGAGAAUUAGUUUUUGUGGACCUCACAAAUCUUGUGGAUACUAUUCUCCAGUUAUAGUACAUUUCUCUCCCCCUGGUAUUUGAAAGCAUCUUAUAUUCAGAUCGGUGCGUGCGGCCAGAUUUGUAUAACUUGAUUGACACUGGGCACAGAGUUUUCGAUGGGUCUUACUUUCCAGAGCAUCUAUAAUGCGGAGAAGACGGUAAUAGGAGUUGUGGGCAAUAGGGCUGCCGAUAAGAGGAGUUCAGCUCCAUAAGCUUUAUUUUCAAGUGUUUGUAUUAUUUUUGCGUAUGUUUAAAAAAAAAGUCUCACGUAGAGGUUGUGAAAUAGACUCGCUACACAAUUUGAAUUGUGGCGGAUGAGGGAACUCUGGAGUGAAUUCGGAUUGGACAAAUGGUAAAAAAAUAAAAUCCAUGGAAAUGUAAUUGUAAAGGGAAAGUGCAUAAUGAUUUGAACCGUUAGUGUGGUAGCUUUUUAACGAUAAAGACAAAUGUGACAUUUUGAUACCUACAUUCUUACUCUAUUUCUGAGCUAGAGGCAAUUAAGCGGCGAUGUGAAAAUUGAUUUGAAUUCCAAAAAGCAAUUCUCCAUCGACGUAUUUUAAGUUUUCAAUUUACAUAAACAUUGCAAUGCAGUAUUUUACAAUACCCUGGAAAAGCUAAUUAUAAAGUGACUAUUAAAUCAAGUGAAUAUUAAAUGGGAUUACGUUACAUUGCGUCAGUUUCAGAGGGUAGUUUUUUUUAUUUUUAUCUUCGGUUUUAAGGUUUUAUCAGUGGACAAUGUUCUACAUUUGCAAUAAAUCGAUUGUUUUGUGUUCACGUGUGCAAAACAAACAAGGGGAGUUAGACCUUCAAGCAGGCAUUAAUUAAACAUUUUAAUUACAGUUGAACAGUAUCAGACUAAGGCAUCUCGUUAGCAUCAUGCAGCACAUAUGGAUGGACAUCAUAUGCAGUAAUCUAGUGUUCAGUGGAUUAUAUCGUGAAUACAACUUGACUGUCUCCAACUGCACCAGUGCUGUAUUAUUGUGUGAUGAAAUGAUAACUGUGCAUUAGCAACUAAUACUGUAAUUUUUUUUGUUAAUUUGUCAUCUGGCGCUUACAAACUUGCGCUCUUGUUGACAAAUGCACUGGCACCCGAUACAGGGUUGUAUCUUCAUGUGUGAUUGUUACUACAGAUUGAGGCGUCGCGAAUCUAUAGGUGGUGUGUUGAUACACCUACAGAUGUUUCUAUAGUUGUGUUUAUAGGUGUGUUUGUAGGUGAGUUUUUUUUACGUGAAUAUAUGUAAGGAGCGGCAUUACUAUUCCCAGUUUGCCUAGUUUAAAAUCUUGUCCGUGAACAUCAGCGAUGGCAAUUGGUUUCUGAACCCAAGCUGGGGCUCUUCUAGGUUGACUGUCCAUAAACUGCAUACCUGAUGCAAUGUGAGCAACUUUAACUGAUGAACAACCAAAGCUCUGUGUGCAUAAUGCUGAUUCCACCGGCCCCUUAUGUGCUGUGCCAGCCUUCAUAGGAGCUUGAUAACGGCUCUUGUCCUAGAUAAACUUUGCCUGAGUGUGUGCGCGUGUGUGAAAGUGCGUAUGAUUGUGUGCAUGCAAAACUGUGGGGAGCGGUGGCAUCGUGGUUGGAACACUGCGCUACAAACCUGGUUCCUGGGUUCGAUUCCCAGUUACAGAUAACAUCAGUGGCGGGUGAUAUCCGAACAUGCCUUGGGCCUGCCAUAGGUCGACUCAAAUGAGUACCUGGUGCGGUAUGUGAAUGUCAAAACUGGGGAGACAAAGGUGGCUAAGCGUGGCACUGGUCACACCAACCCUUUGCUGCCAUGCUCGCUAACAGCACUUGCCCCAUAAGUCUUUGUAGGCCAUAUUGGGGACCUAUGGCUUAUGUAUGCAAAAAUGCGCCAUAACCCCAUGCUGUAGUGUAAAUACUUUGAAUUGAAAACACACAAUAAGCUUACUUGGUCUUCGGUCUUGAACUAUGCUUAAACCCUCUCCUGACAUCAGCUUCACAGCCAUUUAUGACUGUGAUUCUCGGAAGUGACUUCGCUUGCGUAUCAAGUUUGGUUCUGGGUACCACAAUUAUUUGUUUACCAUUCGGGUCACGCUACGGAGUGCUCUCCCCAUGCGAUUACACAUAACAAUAAAAUAUAAAAAAUUCAAGCAAAAUCCAUUAACUACCAGUGAGAAUAGUGAGAAUAUUAUUGUGUUAUUUUAUUUUAUCAAUGUAUUAUU